Molecule: ribosomal RNA, 439 nt
Filed under: uncultured bacterium
Lineage: Bacteria
Description: partial 16S ribosomal RNA
Rfam family: Bacterial small subunit ribosomal RNA
Source: RNAcentral
CCUACGGGGUGCAGCAGUGGGGAAUAUUGCACAAUGGGCGAAAGCCUGAUGCAGCAACGCCGCGUGAGCGAUGAAGGCCUUCGGGUCGUAAAGCUCUGUUCUCAAGGAAGUUAAUGACGGUACGUGAGGAGGAAGUCCUGUCUAACUACGUGCCAGCAGCCGCGGUAAUACGAAGGGGGCUAGGGUUAUCCGGAGUUACUGGGCGUAAAGGGUGCGUAGGUGGUUUCUUAAGUCCGAGGGGAAAGGCUAGGGCUAAACCGUAGUAUGCCUUUGACACUGGGGAACUUGAGUGCAGGAGAGGAGGGUGGAAUUCGUAGUGUAGCGGUGAAAUGCGUAGAUAUUAGGAAGAACACCAGUUGCGAAGGCAGCUCUCUGGACUGUAACUGACACUGAGGCACGAAAGCGUGGGGAGCAAACAGGAUUAGAUACCCUUGUAGUC